UAGGGAAUCUUCCACAAUGGACGCAAGUCUGAUGGAGCAACGCCGCGUGAGUGAAGAAGGUCUUCGGAUCGUAAAGCUCUGUUGUUGGUGAAGAAGGAUAGAGGCAGUAGCUGGUCUUUAUUUGACGGUAAUCAACCAGAAAGUCACGGCUAACUACGUGCCAGCAGCCGCGGUAAUACGUAGGUGGCAAGCGUUGUCCGGAUUUAUUGGGCGUAAAGCGAGCGCAGGCGGAAUGAUAAGUCUGAUGUGAAAGCCCACGGCUCAACCGUGGAACUGCAUCGGAAACUGUCAUUCUUGAGUGCAGAAGAGGAGAGUGGAACUCCAUGUGUAGCGGUGGAAUGCGUAGAUAUAUGGAAGAACACCAGUGGCGAAGGCGGCUCUCUGGUCUGCAACUGACGCUGAGGCUCGAAAGCAUGGGUAGCGAACAGGAUUAGAUACCCUGGUAGUCCAUGCCGUAAACGAUGAGCGCUAGGUGUUGGGGACUUUCCGGUCCUCAGUGCCGCAGCAAACGCAUUAAGCGCUCCGCCUGGGGAGUACGACCGCAAGGUUGAA
Molecule: ribosomal RNA, 552 nt
Filed under: uncultured bacterium
Lineage: Bacteria
Description: partial 16S ribosomal RNA
Rfam family: Bacterial small subunit ribosomal RNA
Source: RNAcentral